AGUUGUAGGUCCGGCCCAAGAUAGGCGAAGUAGUUGAAAUACUAGGGUUUAUAUUAAUUGGACACGCCGUCACACUCUCGGGGUAUCAAUUCGCAUUUGUUGGUUGUGAAGUUAGACAGCUCUGAUCCUAGCUAAAAAAUUUGGGAUUGAUGCGUAGUGAUUUUUGCUUAAGAAGUUGGUAUUCCCAUUUUCUGAGUAACAAUGUCGAGAAAGAGGCGACUCAGAAUAUUCAGAAGUUGAAGAGGUUGGAAACGUGUUGCCUUAAUGACGUGUGGUAGAGCUCUGUCCUAGUAAAGUCUGUUGGCCAUAUUAAAGUAAUUCGCAUUGCAAAAAAAAUGAUUCUAAGUAACAUCCGAAACUUAGAAGUGGUAGGUAAAAAAGUUGUAGGUAAGUGCAAAGGGUUCCUUUAGUUCUUAAGACAAUUACUAGUUUAUUAAGUUCCGAAUAAGAGAUUGAAGAGCAAACACAUUUUAAGAAGUGAAAUAUGAGGCUUUCAAUUUGUUGAGAAGUGAAUGUGGAAGCUCACAUAUUUCACUUUUCAAAUCUCCACUCUCCAACCUUUGAUUUGGAGCUUAAUAGGCGAACAAAUGUCUUUAGAGCUAAGGGCAAUCCUUUGCACUUUUCUGCAAUUCUUUUUCCAACCUCUUCAAUUUUUGAAAGUUUCUUAGAAUCCAUGUUUUCAAAUGCGCUUCUUUUGUAUAAAGACCAACAACUUUAUUGGACAGAGUUCCCACACUAAUUGGCCACUACCCAUCAAAACAACACUUUUCUUAUGUGAAUUGGCUCACUUUGACUCGUCAAACUACAAUGGCAACCUCAUGGAAGAGUGCGGACAUUCCAAAAUUUUAAGCAGACUUCAUCGAGAAAGAGGCAAGUUGAAACUGCGAGUUAUGUGCUCCUGACUAACUUUCUUUACUUUUGGGGUUCCCGCACCAUGCUUUUUAUUGUCAUUCUCCAUUACUCUCUUGUUCUUCUUUCCAAUCUCACCUCAAUAAAUUUGUAAAGUCAAUUUCCUUCUCUUCCUUGCAAGAUUUCGUAGUUUGUGCAGAAAAUUCUCAUCUCCUGUAUAUCUAAGUUUAGGUUUACUAAGAAGUUUGGGUAAGUAGAAAAUUUGAUCACCUUCUACUUUGUCAAGUUACAGAGGUAUUGUUUGUGGAUUAUUUUGAUAUACGCUCCUCUAGAAUUUAUAGGGUGAUGAGGAAAAUUUUGAUGCUGUGAAUGUUGGAUGACAUGCUUUUCAACGAUGGGAAUCAUUUCAGAUUUAUGGCAGGGAUUUGCAUUAUUACUGCACGCACAGUUCUAGAGGAAUGUAGUCCGUGGCUCUCCUAUAUUUUUUGUAUACUUCAAAUUCAAGUGUAUAAUGUUGUUCCUUUGUAUUUUCAUAUGUGGAAACUAGUUCUUUUGAAAUCACAAUGGAAGGUCAUAAUGAGUGAACGUUGAUUUUCUAUACGGGAAAGGUCUAAAUAUGCCCUUGUACUAUACGAAAUUGAGCACAUUUGCCUUUCGUUAAUACUUUAGUUCAAAUAUGCCUUUACCGUCA
Nicotiana tabacum (common tobacco) is the source of this 1540-nucleotide long non-coding RNA. RefSeq lists it as uncharacterized. Lineage: Eukaryota; Viridiplantae; Streptophyta; Magnoliopsida; Solanales; Solanaceae. The record is from RefSeq and is a predicted model, not a curated record.